Molecule: ribosomal RNA, 997 nt
Filed under: uncultured Bacteroidota bacterium
Lineage: Bacteria; Pseudomonadati; Bacteroidota
Description: bacterial SSU rRNA
Rfam family: Bacterial small subunit ribosomal RNA
Source: RNAcentral
GAGUUUGAUCCUGGCUCAGGAUGAACGCUAGCGGCAGGCCUAACACAUGCAAGUCGAGGGGUAACAGAAAAGCUUGCUUUUGCUGACGACCGGCGCACGGGUGCGUAACGCGUAUGCAACCUACCUCAUACUGGAGGAUAGCCCCUGGAAACGGGGAUUAAUACUCCAUAGUAUCACAAUUUCGCAUGUUAUUGUGAUUAAAGUUUUUCGGUAUGAGAUGGGCAUGCGUCCCAUUAGCUUGUUGGUGAGGUAACGGCUCACCAAGGCAACGAUGGGUAGGGGGCCUGAGAGGGUGGUCCCCCACACUGGUACUGAGACACGGACCAGACUCCUACGGGAGGCAGCAGUGAGGAAUAUUGGUCAAUGGAGGAAACUCUGAACCAGCCAUGCCGCGUGAAGGAUGACGGCCCUAUGGGUUGUAAACUUCUUUUAUAGAGGAAGAAACUUGUCUACGUGUAGACAACUGACGGUACUCUACGAAUAAGGAUCGGCUAACUCCGUGCCAGCAGCCGCGGUAAUACGGAGGAUCCAAGCGUUAUCCGGAUUCAUUGGGUUUAAAGGGUCCGUAGCGAGAUUUUUAAGUCAGUGGUGAAAGCCGACAGCUCAACUGUCGAACUGCCAUUGAUACUGGAAAUCUUGAGUACAAAUGAAGUAGGCGGAAUGAGUCAUGUAGCGGUGAAAUGCAUAGAUAUGACUCAGAACACCGAUUGCGAAGGCAGCUUACUAACAUGUAACUGACGCUGAGGGACGAAAGCGUGGGGAGCGAACAGGAUUAGAUACCCUGGUAGUCCACGCCGUAAACGAUCAUCACUCGCUGUUGGCGAUAUACUGUCAGCGGCCAAGCGAAAGUAUUAAGUGAUGCACCUGGGGAGUACGCCGGCAACGGUGAAACUCAAAGGAAUUGACGGGGGCCCGCACAAGCGGUGGAGCCAUGUGGGUUUAAUUCGAUGAUACGCGAGGAACCUUACCAGGGCUUAAAUGUAGUUUGACCGGCUUG